Molecule: long non-coding RNA, 427 nt
Organism: Entelurus aequoreus (snake pipefish)
Lineage: Eukaryota; Metazoa; Chordata; Actinopteri; Syngnathiformes; Syngnathidae
Exons: 3
Source: RefSeq, a predicted model, not a curated record
UCAAGUUGAAUGUCUGACCCGUCGCGCCAAAACUAUAAAUUGAGUAUAUAACGUGUUCUACAUCAUAUGUGAACAUUUGGGAUAAAGUCAAUAUGUCUCUUUUUUGACACUAUAUGUUUUAGUAUGCCAUUGACCGGGACGUGGACACAACUUAAUUGUUCCACACACGGCUGCAGGAUCAGUGCUCGUGCUGCACAGACAGACGAUGGACAGACGAGAAUCCUCCAUCCUACAAGUACGUUUCAACAUAUUUGGAUGAUGACAAAGCAUCAGGAGCAACAAACCAGGGGUUCAGGAUCAGGCCAAGCAAACCCUGACAUGCGAGGCAUGACAAGAAAGUUGCAAACACGAUUGAAUUCCUCAAGAAAGAAGUCGUAGCAAAGAACAAAGGUGGCGCCCGAAUAGCUCAUCGCCAAAGAGUCUUCAG